Non-coding RNA from Xyrichtys novacula (pearly razorfish), 650 nucleotides. NCBI's taxonomy places the organism in Eukaryota, Metazoa, Chordata, Actinopteri, Labriformes, Labridae. The record is from the annotation of a GenBank genome assembly.
GGCUUUUGUUGAUGGCCAGACAAAGACUCUUAAGUCCUGAAAAUGUUCCUGCCAUGAGAACAAUCUCGCCCCAGCGUACAGAGGAGUUUGCACGCAGGUAGAAAUUCUACAGACGCCACAAACUUCAAUAUUCUGCAACACUGGAGUUUCAAAAUAAGUCAUAAAUAUAUUCUUUGUGUAGAAAUUUAAAUAAUUUUCAAUAUUAAUAUUUGCACUUUGUGUUUUUGUGAUUUUGCCAAAAACGUCCUAAUAAUAUAGAAUAUGUAAGCAUAUUUAAAAACAUGCAAUGCUGCUGUAAUUGUUCUCUUUUUAGUGUGAUAGGAGUUACUAAAUGAGACAAAGCUGCACACCUGAAGGUCCUGCAGUCAGUGCAUACAGGUACAGUGUCACACAGAGCUCAAUACAAGCUCAAUGGUGCCACCUAAAGUCGUGGUCUACAAUAACAUGCCCCUAAAGUCAUCCAGGUGUGCUGCAUUAUGCAUAAUAUGUGAAAUGAAAAUACGAAAGUGCUGCUGUAAAGAAUUUUUACCUGAUGUCAGAUUCCUAACAUCGCUCACAUUUCAAAAUGUGAAGAAUUGGAGUUUAAAAUGUGAAGAAUUUAACCCUGUUUUUCUUGUUUUUCAGCUUUAUUACCUCAUUUUAGCACCUGC